CCCUGACGAGACUGACGCUCAGUGCGAAAGCGUGGGGAGCAAACAGGAUUAGAUACCUGGUAGUCCACGCUGUAAACGAUGUCGAUUUGGAGGUUGUGCCCGUGAGGCGUGGCUUCCGGAGCUAACGCGUUAAAUCGACCGCUGGGGAGUACGGCCGCAAGGUUAAAACUCAAAUGAAUUGACGGGGGCCCGCACAAGCGGUGGAGCAUGUGGUUUAAUUCGAUGCAACGCGAAGAACCUUACCUACUCUUGACAUCCAGAGAACUUUCCAGAGAUGGAUUGGUGCCUUCGGGAACUCUGAGACAGGUGCUGCAUGGCUGUCGUCAGCUCGUGUUGUGAAAUGUUGGGUUAAGUCCCGCAACGAGCGCAACCCUUAUCCUUUGUUGCCAGCGGUUCGGCCGGGAACUCAAAGGAGACUGCCAGUGAUAAACUGGAGGAAGGUGGGGAUGACGUCAAGUCAUCAUGGCCCUUACGAGUAGGGCUACACACGUGCUACAAUGGCGUAUACAAAGAGAAGCGACCUCGCGAGAGCAAGCGGACCUCAUAAAGUACGUCGUAGUCCGGAUUGGAGUCUGCAACUCGACUCCAUGAAGUCGGAAUCGCUAGUAAUCGUAGAUCAGAAUGCUACGGUGAAUACGUUCCCGGGCCUUGUACACACCGCCCGUCACACCAUGGGAGUGGGUUGCAAAAGAAGUAGGUAGCUUAACCUUCGGGAGGGCGCUUACCACUUUGUGAUUCAUGACUGGGGUGAAGUCGUAACAAGGUAACCA
This 770-nucleotide ribosomal RNA is filed under the name uncultured Serratia sp. Its description in RNAcentral is "bacterial SSU rRNA". It matches the Rfam family "Bacterial small subunit ribosomal RNA", at positions 729 to 1502 of the family's 1533-position model. The record is from RNAcentral. Lineage: Bacteria; Pseudomonadati; Pseudomonadota; Gammaproteobacteria; Enterobacterales; Yersiniaceae.